UCCCUGGAGGACUAGUGGUUAGGCCACAGCGCUCUCACUGCUGCUGCCCAAGUUAGAUUCCCCGCCAGGGAA
RNAcentral lists this transfer RNA (72 nucleotides) under Pangasius djambal. RNAcentral's name for it is "tRNA-Glu". It matches the Rfam family "tRNA". From Rfam's summary of the family: Transfer RNA (tRNA) molecules are approximately 80 nucleotides in length. Their secondary structure includes four short double-helical elements and three loops (D, anti-codon, and T loops). The record is from RNAcentral. Lineage: Eukaryota; Metazoa; Chordata; Actinopteri; Siluriformes; Pangasiidae.